AACGAACGCUGGCGGCAGGCUUAACACAUGCAAGUCGAGCGCCCCGCAAGGGGAGCGGCAGACGGGUGAGUAACGCGUGGGGAUCUACCCACCCCUACGGAAUAGCUCCGGGAAACUGGAAUUAAUACCGUAUACGCCCUACGGGGGAAAGAUUUAUCGGGGUGGGAUGAGCCGGCGUUGGAUUAGCUGGUUGGUGGGGUAAAGGCCUACCAAGGCGACGAUCCAUAGCUGGUCUGUGAGGCUGAUCAGCCACAUUGGGACUGAGACACGGCCGAAACUCCUACGGGAGGCAGCAGUGGGGAAUAUUGGACAAUGGGGGCAACCCUGAUCCAGCCAUGCCGCGUGAGUGAUGAAGGCCUUGGGGUUGUAAAGCGCUUUCACCGGGGAAGAGAAUGACGGUACCCGGAGAAGAAGCCCCGGCUAACUUCGUGCCAGCCGCCGCCGUAA
This 447-nucleotide ribosomal RNA is filed under the name uncultured bacterium. Its description in RNAcentral is "partial 16S ribosomal RNA". It matches the Rfam family "Bacterial small subunit ribosomal RNA", at positions 29 to 523 of the family's 1533-position model. The record is from RNAcentral.